This 85-nucleotide transfer RNA is filed under the name Felis catus (domestic cat). It matches the Rfam family "tRNA". From Rfam's summary of the family: Transfer RNA (tRNA) molecules are approximately 80 nucleotides in length. Their secondary structure includes four short double-helical elements and three loops (D, anti-codon, and T loops). Lineage: Eukaryota; Metazoa; Chordata; Mammalia; Carnivora; Felidae. The record is from Rfam by way of RNAcentral.
GCCUGGGUAGCUCAGUCGGCUAAGCGUCUGACUUUGGCUCAGGUCAUGAUCUCGCGGUUCAUGGGUUCAAGCCCCGCAUCAGGCU